GCCCCAAUCACGUCACAAACCCCUUCCGGCCCCCGGGACGACCCCGGCCCAGAUCCCCGAGCUCCCCUGAGAUUCGGCCUCGCGAAGGAGAGACCAGGUGUGGUCGGACCCGCGACGCCGACGGCGCUGACGGUGUUUCCCGCUCGCUGAACUCCGGGGACGCGCGGAGUCGGCGCCUCGUUCUCUCCCUGCAGCUCCUGAGCAACGGGAUCGCCCUGGUGAGGGUGAUGGGCCGAGAACCGCGUAGGUUCAAACCCCGGUUCCUCCUUUCCCGCGCGGAGUGACUUCCGGCUGCACCGGGAACUCUCCUGGGCCUCUGCUCACCGUUUAUAAAAUGGGGACAUCACAGUGCAGGCUCCCGUGAGGGCGGAAUCGGAUCACGCCUCCCCUCGGGUCGGUCCCGGCUUCCGCUUGAGUGUCUUGGUAACUGUACUCUGACUUCAGUGGAAAUGGGACACUGAAACCGUAAGAGACCUGAGAAAUGAAGUCUUGCAAGACUCGAGGCCAGUCCAAGUUGAACCAGAGUGGGCAGAAGACGUCUUCAGUUGGAAGCCAGGAGCCUAAAGAGGGAGGUGUGAACAGAGAGGACUGUGAAAGCUUCCAGGAGCAGAGGAGGGACCUGGGUCCUGUGUGCUGUCAUCAUCGCUGUGGUCCUUUGUGAGGUCAGAGCAGACAGCUCUGCCAGCGGUGCCUCGAGCUGGAGAUGGAAACUAUAUGUGCUGGAUUUACGGAAGCGUGCUCAUAGGACUUCUGGAAUGUUCGGUCUGGAUCUGCAACCUGUGCAUUCUUAUUGAUGGAGCCAGGGGCAGCCAAUCCCAUGAUUAAGAGGUGGUCAAGCAGAGGAAAGAUUUACUACAACUGUGCUGUAAGACACUCAAGAUUUUUGCCAUACCAAUCCAAAAUAUUAGGAAAAUCUUGAAGAUGGUGCAGCUGGAGUCAAUCACCCUGGGAUGGUUUGCUCCUCACCUGGGUCAUGGUCAGCCUGCACAGGCUCCUGCUCUCCCACAUCCACGUUUCUUCUGAUGUUUCUCCAGCAAAGGACGAGCAGUAUGUUGGCCAGUUCACCUCCAAGUUCUUCUGUCUGCAGCAUCUCCGGGUGCUACAUUUGGACUCUGUUUCCUUUCUGGAAGGUCUCUUGGACCAGGUGGUCAGGAGGAGUGGCAAGGCUUUUCUGCAGACCAAAGCCAGGCCAUCUUCAUUUCCUUAAACACAUUCUGUGUUGACUCUGUGGCACCUGCCAGUGAUGUAAAGUUUAGGGGACAUGUUCUCCACAUGUCUUCAAUAUUGUGUAUAGAGUGGAAUAGCUGCUUCAAGGAUAGACACUGUUAGGAAACUCUACGAUGGGGGAUUUUGGCCUAGUGAGGGCAGACUCGAGAAUUUGGCUUUAGGAAUUGAUGUCUAAGUUAAGAUGGAAAUAACUAAGAGAAGAGGGCAUUGGUGAAGGCGGGAAAGUCCAUCAAAUGAGAGGUGUCAAAAUAUAAGCUCUGCACUUGCCAGCUCUGUAAACAUGAGCUGCCUCCUCCAGUCCUCCCUGUCUGUAGCAGGGUUGCUUUGUGCUCCCAAUAAGUUAUUAAGUGGGAAAUACAUUAUUAUUCAGGUGUGGGUGAAGGUGCAAGAGCAGAAAAUUGUAAAACAUUAAUAGCUGCUAUGCCCAUGAAAAAGAGAUUUAGGUGAACCCCCACAGGCUAGCAAGACCGGGUGAUUUGGCCAGAUCUUACCCAGGUUUCCCUUUUAUGGAUUAUGGUUAUGGUUAUGGAUACUCAUAGAUUUAGGCUAAAGGUUAGGUUUAGGGAUGUGAUAGGUAUAUGGAUAGGGUUAGGCUUAGGCUUAGGGUUAGGGAAAAUGGAGCUCUCCCCAGCCCA
Molecule: long non-coding RNA, 1862 nt
Organism: Choloepus didactylus (southern two-toed sloth)
Lineage: Eukaryota; Metazoa; Chordata; Mammalia; Pilosa; Megalonychidae
Exons: 5
Source: RefSeq, a predicted model, not a curated record